Molecule: ribosomal RNA, 333 nt
Filed under: Dwesasilvasedis medinae
Lineage: Eukaryota; Metazoa; Arthropoda; Insecta; Coleoptera; Scarabaeidae
Description: eukaryotic LSU rRNA
Rfam family: Eukaryotic large subunit ribosomal RNA
Source: RNAcentral
GAAACACGGACCAAGGAGUCUAGCAUGUGCGCGAGUCAUUGGGACUCAUGAUAAACCUAAAGGCGCAAUGAAAGUAAAGGUCCGCCCCGCGCGGACCGAGGGAGGAUGGGACCGUCCGCGGACGGACCCCGCACUCCCGGGGCGUCUCGUUCUCAUCGCGAGAAGAGGCGCACCCAGAGCGUACACGCUGGGACCCGAAAGAUGGUGAACUAUGCCUGGUCAGGACGAAGUCAGGGGAAACCCUGAUGGAGGUCCGUAGCGAUUCUGACGUGCAAAUCGAUCGUCGGAACUGGGUAUAGGGGCGAAAGACUAAUCGAACCUUCUAGUAGCUGG